AGAGUUUGAUUCUGGCUCAGGAUGAACGCUGGCGGUAUGCUUAACACAUGCAAGUCGAACGGAGUUCUUCGGAACUUAGUGGCGGACGGGUGAGUAACGCGUGAGAAUCUGGCAAAAGGUUCGGGACAACAGUUGGAAACGACUGCUAAUACCGGAUGUGCCUGUGGGUGAAAGAUUAAUCGCCUUUUGAUGAGCUCGCGUCUGAUUAGCUAGUAGGUGUGGUAAGAGCGCACCUAGGCGACGAUCAGUAGCUGGUCUGAGAGGAUGACCAGCCACACUGGGACUGAGACACGGCCCAGACUCCUACGGGAGGCAGCAGUGGGGAAUUUUCCGCAAUGGGCGAAAGCCUGACGGAGCAAUACCGCGUGAGGGAGGAAGGCUCUUGGGUUGUAAACCUCUUUUCUCAGGGAAUAAGAAAGUGAAGGUACCUGAGGAAUCAGCAUCGGCUAACUCCGCGCCAGCAGCCGCGGUAAUACGGAGGAUGCAAGCGUUAUCCGGAAUGAUUGGGCGUAAAGCGUCCGCAGGUGGUUGCUCAAGUCUGCUGUCAAAGAGUCUGGCUCAACCAGAUAAAGGCAGUGGAAACUGAGAGACUAGAGUGCGGUAGGGGCAGAGGGAAUUCCUGGUGUAGCGGUGAAAUGCGUAGAGAUCAGGAAGAACACCGGUGGCGAAAGCGCUCUGCUGGACCGCAACUGACACUGAGGGACGAAAGCUAGGGGAGCGAAUGGGAUUAGAUACCCCAGUAGUCCUAGCCGUAAACGAUGGAUACUAGGCGUUGCCCGUAUCGACCCGGGCAGUGUCGUAGCCAACGCGUUAAGUAUCCCGCCUGGGGGAGUACGCACGCAAGUGUGAAACUCAAAUGAAUUGACGGGGA
RNAcentral lists this ribosomal RNA (871 nucleotides) under uncultured cyanobacterium. RNAcentral describes it as "bacterial SSU rRNA". It matches the Rfam family "Bacterial small subunit ribosomal RNA", at positions 8 to 919 of the family's 1533-position model. The record is from RNAcentral. Lineage: Bacteria; Bacillati; Cyanobacteriota.